UUAAACUGAAGAGUUUGAUCAUGGCUCAGAUUGAACGCUGGCGGCAGGCCUAACACAUGCAAGUCGAGCGGAAACGAUCCUAGCUUGCUAGGAGGCGUCGAGCGGCGGACGGGUGAGUAACGCGUAGGAAUCUGCCCGGUAGUUGGGGAUAGC
This 153-nucleotide ribosomal RNA is filed under the name Saccharospirillum sp. MSK14-1. RNAcentral's name for it is "partial 16S ribosomal RNA". It matches the Rfam family "Bacterial small subunit ribosomal RNA", at positions 1 to 147 of the family's 1533-position model. Lineage: Bacteria; Pseudomonadati; Pseudomonadota; Gammaproteobacteria; Oceanospirillales; Saccharospirillaceae. The record is from RNAcentral.